Molecule: ribosomal RNA, 429 nt
Filed under: Gemmatimonadota bacterium
Lineage: Bacteria; Pseudomonadati; Gemmatimonadota
Description: Gemmatimonadetes bacterium partial 16S ribosomal RNA
Rfam family: Bacterial small subunit ribosomal RNA
Source: RNAcentral
UAGGGAAUCUUCGGCAAUGGACGAAAGUCCGACCGAGCAACGCCGCGUGAGUGAAGAAGGUUUUCGGAUCGUAAAACUCUGUUGUUAGAGAAGAACAAGGACGUUAGUAACUGAACGUCCCCUGACGGUAUCUAACCAGAAAGCCACGGCUAACUACGUGCCAGCAGCCGCGGUAAUACGUAGGUGGCAAGCGUUGUCCGGAUUUAUUGGGCGUAAAGCGAGCGCAGGCGGUUUCUUAAGUCUGAUGUGAAAGCCCCCGGCUCAACCGGGGAGGGUCAUUGGAAACUGGGAGACUUGAGUGCAGAAGAGGAGAGUGGAAUUCCAUGUGUAGCGGUGAAAUGCGUAGAUAUAUGGGGGAACACCAGUGGCGAAGGCGGCUCUCUGGUCUGUAACUGACGCUGAGGCUCGAAAGCGUGGGGAGCAAACAGG